RNAcentral lists this ribosomal RNA (447 nucleotides) under uncultured bacterium. Its description in RNAcentral is "bacterial SSU rRNA". It matches the Rfam family "Bacterial small subunit ribosomal RNA", at positions 329 to 793 of the family's 1533-position model. The record is from RNAcentral.
UACCAGACUCCUACGGGAGGCAGCAGUGGGGGAUAUUGCACAAUGGGGGGAACCCUGAUGCAGCGACGCCGCGUGAGCGAUGAAGUAUUUCGGUGUAUAAAGCUCUAUCAGCAGGGAAGAAGAUGACGGUACCUGACUAAGAAGCCCCGGCUAACUACGUGCCAGCAGCCGCGGUAAUACGUAGGGGGCAAGCGUUAUCCGGAUUUACUGGGUGUAAAGGGAGCGUAGACGGCGAUGCAAGCCAGAUGUGAAAGCCCGGGGCUCAACCCCGGGACUGCAUUUGGAACUGUGUGGCUGGAGUGUCGGAGAGGCAGGCGGAAUUCCUAGUGUAGCGGUGAAAUGCGUAGAUAUUAGGAGGAACACCAGUGGCGAAGGCGGCCUGCUGGACGAUGACUGACGUUGAGGCUCGAAAGCGUGGGGAGCAAACAGGAUUAGAUACCCGUGUAC